RNAcentral lists this ribosomal RNA (406 nucleotides) under uncultured bacterium. RNAcentral describes it as "partial 16S ribosomal RNA". It matches the Rfam family "Bacterial small subunit ribosomal RNA", at positions 30 to 526 of the family's 1533-position model. The record is from RNAcentral.
AUUGAACGCUGGCGGCAGGCCUAACACAUGCAAGUCGAACGAGUGGCGGACGGGUGAGUAAUGUCUGGGAAACUGCCCGAUGGAGGGGGAUAACUACUGGAAACGGUAGCUAAUACCGCAUACCCUCGGAUGUGCCCAGAUGGGAUUAGCUUGUAGGUGCGGUAAGGGCUCGCCUAGGCGACGAUCCCUAGCUGGUCUGAGCGGAUGACCAGUGACACUGGAACUGAGACAGCGUCCAGACGCCUACGGGAUGCAGUAGUGGGGAAUAUUGCAAAAUGGGCGGAAUCCUGAUGCAGCCAUGCCGCGUGUAUGAAGAAGGCUUUCGGGUUGUAAAGUACUUUCAGCGGGGAGGCGUUACCCGCAGAAGAAGCACCGGCUAACUCCGUGCCAGCAGCCGCGGUAAUUC